GUAUGAGCAGGAGGGGUGUACUUUUAGUUCAUUAAGUUUUAAUUACAGGAGUGCUACAAGAACACAUUCUUCAGGUUUAAAAAGAUAUUAAAAUAUUACAUAAGAGACCUCCCCUCCCUGGCCCACCUCCAGCCUCUUAAAAAUUUAGUGUGUCGCCUUUUAGACACUUUCUCAAAGCUUCACUUAUUUAACAGGCACUUAAGGAGCACCUACCUGUGCCAGAAACUCUCCAAAUAUUAACUCAACCUGACACCGACUCAGUGUGGCCGAAUAUUACUCUCCCCAUUUUACAGAGCGGGCAGCUGGUCAAGGAAGUCGCUUGUUGAAAGUCACACAGUGGUGGAGCCUGUGUGCCAACCCAGGACCCUGGGGAGCUGCCUCCCCCUCUCCCACGUAGUCCUGAUUCUUUAAGUGUCCACAUAUUCCUGUAAUGCCUGGAGUUUCAGUAAUUAGCAGGGACUUAGUGUGUUCAGAGAAAAAAAAAGCUUUUAAAAAUUAUUGUUACUGUGUUUGUAACAGUUUGGAUAGAGAAGGAAAAGCUGGAAUUUGGGAAGUGAAGGUGGCCUCGGGGUAGAACUUACCUAGACCAGAGCGAAUUCAUCCUGAAGAACUCAGAGAAAGCCGGUGCAGGAAGUGGGUUCCCGCUCUCCCUGCACAGGCACAGUGAUGCUGCCAGAGCUCUCCCAGAAAGACCAGGAGGCUUGUUCUGGAGAAGUCAAGCCCAGGGAUGUGGCUCAGGCUGGUCCAAGCUCUUUGGAGGAGUCCAAGCGUGCCCAGCCCAGAGGGAGGUUCAGAGGCACUGACCGUCUUCUGUUUGGGAGGAGAAGCUCACUCUUGGAGCCACAGCCAGCACUAGGGUGAAGGAGGUCAUCAUUACCACCCCUGCUUUCAGCCAUUUCUUCAUUCAUUCAAUCAACAAACUGGCUGAGCUGCAACCCUGAGCCGGGGAAUUCAGCCACUCCAGACACAGCCCCUGCCCUCCGGGAAGUCUCGGGAGACCUGGCUAGUCUGGCUGGGAGAAGUCACACGUUGAUUGUCUUGGAAGUGAGAUGGCAUUUACACAAUGGAGGCUGCACUGCCAGCAGGCAAAAAUAACCAGUUAAUUCAGUGGCUUAAAGAAACCAAACCUACCCACAACGCUUGACCUCCCAUUGAUCCAUCUGCGACACCGGCAGUGGCUACCAUUUAUUGAGUGCUGAUGGUGUCACCUGGGAUUGACUUAGUGGUCUCUGGCGCUAGUUCCGAAGUUGAUUCUGUCUGGAGAGCUUAAUGCAGUGUUCAGACCUCAGGGUCCGAACCUGAGGGUCACCCAAAGAUGAGUGGGACAUAGCUGUGUGACCUCGGCUGAGUGCUUUCACCUCUCCAACCUCAGUUUCCUCUUCUGCAAAAUGGGGUGGCUUCAUGGCACCUUCACGUGGUGUGAUUGCGAGGAAUGAAGGGAUCGAUGCCUUGCAAGUAGAGGAGAAGGGGCCGGAUACAUCUUAGUUGUUAUGUUAUUUAAUCAUCUUGGCAACCCCGGGAGGGAGGAACCACUAUCAUUUUAUUUUCCAUUUUGCAGUUGAGGACAAUGAUGAUUCCAGCACAGACAGGGCCCCUGACGGGGCAGUAGGAAAGGAGAAUUGCUUUGGAAGGAGCAUAGGCUGGACUGCCAGCACUCAUAGGAGGCUUCGUGUGUGCCCAGGACUGCGAGAAUUAAAUACAGGACACCCAGUUCAGUUUGAAUUUCAGAUAAACUAUGAAUAAUGAUUAGUUGUCUGGUCUAGGGACAAAUGCUGAGACGUCUGCAAGGCCAUCUAGAACGCCAGGAAGGCACUGUGGGAACCCAGAGGAACAGGGCACGACGGUGCCCAACAGUCCCAGGAAAACACUCUGUGCCCUUCACCUACAUCUCCAUGCCAGGGUUGGAGACAGGGUCCUGUCCCAUCUGCACAUGGAGCCCUCCGGACGGGUGAAUCUGUCGUCAGUUUGGGGCUUGGGAAUCGGUGUCCAAGAGCUGGCUUCAAAGGCAAUGAAACUGGCAUUGCAUCUUUGAAGGCAGCACAGGCUACAUCUGUCUUAUUCUCCGUGUCCACAGCCCCUAGCAGUGACUGGCAUGUGGUCACGCCCAAUAAAUAUUUGCUGAAUGAAUGAACGCAAAACAAUUUGCAAUGUGGACUAGUCCCUUAAAGUAUGUGUAUCUGCAACCGGUAAGUCUACCACAUAUCUUAAGGAAAUAAUCAGAGAAGUGAACAGUUUUAAGGAGAAGAACGUUGAUCCUAUCUUCAUUCGUAAAAGCAAAAGUGCAAUGAAAUUAAAAACAAAUAGAAGAUGCGUAAAUAAAAGGCAGUGAUCAUAAAACUGUUCAAAACCUUGUUUUCAAAAAUUAUCUGAUGAUAUAAAGUCCCAUAUAAACUAAAUUUAAAAAUAGGCUGCAGAACCGAUCUCAACUUUUUACAAAAAUAUUAUUAGAAAAAGGAUUAAAAUGAUAUUUGCCAAAAUAUUAACAGUGGUCAGCUUUGUGCAAU
Molecule: long non-coding RNA, 2504 nt
Filed under: Homo sapiens (human)
Lineage: Eukaryota; Metazoa; Chordata; Mammalia; Primates; Hominidae
Description: HSALNT0269602
Source: RNAcentral